This 440-nucleotide ribosomal RNA is filed under the name uncultured bacterium. RNAcentral describes it as "partial 16S ribosomal RNA". It matches the Rfam family "Bacterial small subunit ribosomal RNA", at positions 338 to 795 of the family's 1533-position model. The record is from RNAcentral.
CCUACGGGGGGCAGCAGUGGGGGAUAUUGCACAAUGGGGGGAACCCUGAUGCAGCGACGCCGCGUGGGUGAAGGAGCGUUUCGGCGCGUAAAGCCCUAUCGGCAGGGAAGAAGAUGACGGUACCUGACCAAGAAGCCCCGGCUAACUACGUGCCAGCAGCCGCGGUAAUACGUAGGGGGCAAGCGUUAUCCGGAUUUACUGGGUGUAAAGGGUGCGUAGGUGGUUUGGCAAGUUGGUAGCGUAAUCCCGGGGCUCAACCUCGGUGCUACUACCCAAACUGUUGAACUUGAGUGCAGGAGGGGUGAAUGGAAUUCCCAGUGUAGCGGUGGAAUGCGUAGAUAUUGGGAAGAACACCAGCGGCGAAGGCGAUUCACUGGACUGUAACUGACACUGAGGCACGAAAGCGUGGGGAGCAAACAGGAUUAGAUACCCGAGUAGUC